Non-coding RNA from Cydia fagiglandana, 74 nucleotides. Lineage: Eukaryota; Metazoa; Arthropoda; Insecta; Lepidoptera; Tortricidae. The record is from the annotation of a RefSeq genome assembly.
GCCCGGAUGGCCUAGGCGGUUUUAGGCAUCUGCCGUGAAUGCAGAGGACGCUGGUUCGAUUCCAGCCCUGGGCA